Molecule: non-coding RNA, 86 nt
Organism: Myriangium duriaei CBS 260.36
Lineage: Eukaryota; Fungi; Ascomycota; Dothideomycetes; Myriangiales; Myriangiaceae
Source: the annotation of a GenBank genome assembly
GGUUCCGUAGCGCAAUGGUAGCGCGUUGGUUUUCGGUCUUUUCGAAAGCACACCAAAGGUUGAGGGUUCGAAUCCCUUCGGGAUCG